Molecule: ribosomal RNA, 253 nt
Filed under: uncultured bacterium
Lineage: Bacteria
Description: partial 16S ribosomal RNA
Rfam family: Bacterial small subunit ribosomal RNA
Source: RNAcentral
UACAGAGGGUGCGAGCGUUGUCCGGAAUCACUGGGCGUAAAGGGCGCGUAGGCGGCUUGAUAAGCGUGCGGUGAAAGCCCGGGGCUCAACCCCGGGUCGGCCGUGCGAACUGUCGAGCUGGAGCACUGUAGAGGCAGGUGGAAUUCCGGGUGUAGCGGUGGAAUGCGUAGAGAUCGGGAGGAACACCAGUGGCGAAGGCGGCCGGCUGGGGGUGACCUGACGCUGAGGCGCGAAAGCGUGGGGAGCGAACCGG